GCGACUGUAGUCUAGUGGUUAGGAUUCUGGCCUUCCAAGCCAGUAACCCGGGUUCAAAUCCCGGCGGUCGCACCA
This 75-nucleotide transfer RNA is filed under the name Candidatus Bathyarchaeota archaeon. RNAcentral describes it as "tRNA-Gly". It matches the Rfam family "tRNA". Rfam says of the family: Transfer RNA (tRNA) molecules are approximately 80 nucleotides in length. Their secondary structure includes four short double-helical elements and three loops (D, anti-codon, and T loops). Further hydrogen bonds mediate the characteristic L-shaped molecular structure. tRNAs have two regions of fundamental functional importance: the anti-codon, which is responsible for specific mRNA codon recognition, and the 3' end, to which the tRNAs corresponding amino acid is attached (by aminoacyl-tRNA synthetases). tRNAs cope with the degeneracy of the genetic code in two manners: having more than one tRNA (with a specific anti-codon) for a particular amino acid; and 'wobble' base-pairing, i.e. permitting non-standard base-pairing at the 3rd anti-codon position. RNAcentral also lists the same sequence under 1 other name. Lineage: Archaea; Thermoproteati; Candidatus Bathyarchaeota. The record is from RNAcentral.